Molecule: ribosomal RNA, 835 nt
Filed under: Candida albicans
Lineage: Eukaryota; Fungi; Ascomycota; Pichiomycetes; Serinales; Debaryomycetaceae
Description: LSU rRNA
Rfam family: Eukaryotic large subunit ribosomal RNA
Source: RNAcentral
ACAGGGAUUGCCUCAGUAGCGGCGAGUGAAGCGGCAAAAGCUCAAAUUUGAAAUCUGGCGUCUUUGGCGUCCGAGUUGUAAUUUGAAGAAGGUAUCUUUGGGCCCGGCUCUUGUCUAUGUUCCUUGGAACAGGACGUCACAGAGGGUGAGAAUCCCGUGCGAUGAGAUGACCCGGGUCUGUGUAAAGUUCCUUCGACGAGUCGAGUUGUUUGGGAAUGCAGCUCUAAGUGGGUGGUAAAUUCCAUCUAAAGCUAAAUAUUGGCGAGAGACCGAUAGCGAACAAGUACAGUGAUGGAAAGAUGAAAAGAACUUUGAAAAGAGAGUGAAAAAGUACGUGAAAUUGUUGAAAGGGAAGGGCUUGAGAUCAGACUUGGUAUUUUGCAUGCUGCUCUCUCGGGGGCGGCCGCUGCGGUUUACCGGGCCAGCAUCGGUUUGGAGCGGCAGGAUAAUGGCGGAGGAAUGUGGCACGGCUUCUGCUGUGUGUUAUAGCCUCUGACGAUACUGCCAGCCUAGACCGAGGACUGCGGUUUUUACCUAGGAUGUUGGCAUAAUGAUCUUAAGUCGCCCGUCUUGAAACACGGACCAAGGAGUCUAACGUCUAUGCGAGUGUUUGGGUGUAAAACCCGUACGCGUAAUGAAAGUGAACGAAGGUGGGGGCCCAUUAGGGUGCACCAUCGACCGAUCCUGAUGUGUUCGGAUGGAUUUGAGUAAGAGCAUAGCUGUUGGGACCCGAAAGAUGGUGAACUAUGCCUGAAUAGGGUGAAGCCAGAGGAAACUCUGGUGGAGGCUCGUAGCGGUUCUGACGUGCAAAUCGAUCGUCGAAUUUGGGUAUAGG